AAGAAGAACCAGCAACACCACUAUCAGCAGGAGGAAGAAAAACCACCACCACCACCACCAGUAGAGGAAGAAGAAGGACCACCACCACCAGCAGAGGAAGAAGGACACCAUCAACAACAGCAACAUCACCACCAUCAGAGGAAGAAGAACAAGCACCACUACCACCAACACCACACCGCCAUCAGAGGAAUAAGAAGCAGCAGCAACAUUACCACCACCAACACCAGCACCAGAGGAAGAAGAAAAAGGACCAACACCACCAGCAGAGGAAUAAGAACUUACCCUGACACUUCAAGCACCACCAAACUGACUGACUCAACCAGGUUAAGAAUAGAAGGAUAGGAUAUGUUAGGAUAAGAUAGGACAGGAUAUGGUUUGUUAGUGGUCCAUGUAGUUGCCAGGGUCAGGAGGAGGAGAAGGAAGAAGAAGCAGCAGCAUCACCAUGAGAGAAAGAAGCAGCAGCACAACCACCACCAGCAGAGAAAGAAGCUUAACCAUCACCAGCAGAGGAAGAAGAAGCAGCACUAUCACCACCAUUGGAAGAAGAAGAAGAAGAAGAAGCAGCAGCAUCACAAUCAGAGGAGGGACCACCACAACCACCAGCUGAGGAAGAACCAGAACCACCACCAUCAUUAGAGGAAGAAGAAACAUCACCACCAACACCACUGAAGGGAAAAGAAGAUGCACCACCACCAUCAUCAGAGGAAUCACCAUCAGAGGAAGAAGCACCACCACCACCAUCAGAGGAAGAAGCACCAUCACCACCAUCAAAAGAAGCACCACCACCAUUAAAAGAAGAAGCACCACCAACAUCAAAGAAGAAGCAGCACUAACACCACCAUCAGAAGACGAAACAGCACCACCACCACCAGAGGAGGAAGAAGCACCACCACCACCACCACCACUACCACCACCAGCAGAAGAAGAUCCACAACAACCACCAGCAGAGGAAUAAGAACCACCACCACACUGAGGAAGAGGAAGAAGCAGAUGAAGAAGAAGCACCACCAUUGGAAGAAGAAGCAGCACCACCACCACCAGCAGAGGAAGAAGAAGGAUCACCACCAGCAGCAGAGGAAGAAGGGCCACCAUCACCAGCAGAGGAAGAAGGACCACCACCACCACCAGCAGAGGAAGAACAAGAACCACUACCAUCAGCAGAGGAAGAAGAAAAGAUGGAGAAGAAAAUGAAGAAAGGAAGAAGAAAAAAGAAAAGAAGAAAAGAAGGAAAGAAGACAAAAAGAAGAAGAAAAGAAAAAGAAAAAGAAGGAAAGAAAAAGAAGAAAAGAAAAAGAAAAGAAGAAGAAGAUGAAGAAGAAGAAGAAAAGUACAAGAAGAAGAAGAAGAAGAAGAUAUUAGUGUGGACUUGAAUAUUGAUUGACAUGAUAGGUGUGGCAGGUAACUCCACACUGCUUUCACUCUUACACCACACUUCAGUACAUGAAACCUUAUGAGCUUGAUUCAAGGUUGAUACAUAACCUGUAAUCUCUCUUUGUACAUUACCAAUCACACAGACCUCAGACAUUAUAAGGUGAUCACACAAAUUAAGGAGGACCUUCCAAGUCUGCAAAAGAAACUGCAAUGAGCUCAAGCACUCUGAGAAUCCUUAAAAAAACAAAUAAAGGACAAAUCACUUGGAAUUAUUUGAACAGUACAUUGCUGAGCACAACCAAAUGUAUAUACUAAAUGUAUAUGGAAAUAAAAAGUUGUGUGAGUGGACAAAUAACACCUCAUCCCACAUUCUUCAGUGAAUUGGUGUGGUGCUGCCUUCACAUGGCAACCAGCUCACCCAUUUACUUAAUUCAACAGUGAGGAUGGCAACUUUUGGCUUCCAGCAAAAUGAGUGAAGUUGAACAGCAAGCUGUGAUAAAGAUUUCUGUGAUUCAAGGGAAAGCAUCACAGUUGAUUCAUGAGUUGAGGACAGCACUAAAGGACAGUGCCCUAUCCUAUUCCACUGUCAAACAUUGGGCUGCUUUCUUCAAGCAGGGCCAAGACUCAUGCGAGGAUGUCUCCCAUGGUGGUGGUCCAUCAACUGCAGUCACCAAGGAAACUGUGGCUAUGGUGGAAAGCAUGGUCAUGAUAAUCACCAAGUCUCAGUGCAAUACAUUGUUUCUCAACUGGAGAUCAGUAAUUGAUCUGUUGUUACCAUCUUGCAUGAUCACCUCAAACUUUCCAAGGUGUCUGCCCAAUGGGUCCAAAGAAUGUUGAUGCCUGAACAAAAGAGGAACCAGAUAAUGACUUCAGAAAAGAAGUUGACCCUCUUGAGAAUGGAUCCAGAGGGAUUCAUGGCCUAAAUCAUGACCUAAGAUGAAACGUGGGUUCCUCACUUUGAUCUGGAAACCAAAGCUGGAUCUAAGUGAUGAAAGCAUCCCUCCUUUCCAACGCCAUAAAGUCAUCCCAGAAGAUCGUGGACAGUGCUCCUGUGCAUGACAGCAUGAGACCAUGAGGAAAGUGGUGUCCUGUGGCUUCAAACUGUUGCCUCAUCCCCCUAAUUCUCCAGAUCUGGCACCCUCUGACUUUCACCUUUUCCCAUACAUGAAGAAGCAGCUGUGGAGUGUCUCUUUCACUAAUGACGAGGAAACCAAGGUCAUGAAGGUAUUGGGGGGAUUCAACCCACCAUUUUUCAGGGACAGAUUUUCACAAUUGAAGACAAGACAAAAGAAGUGCAUGAUGGUCACAGGCAAUUACAAUGAAAAUUUUUUUCUUAAAAGCGAAUUGAGUGAACUUUUACUCUGUUUGCUUCCGCUGGGUUAGGACAAGAACUCACUGAACGUCCCUCAUAAUACCUAAGUACACUACCUAUGUGUCCCUACUUCUACCUGUGACCAUACCAGUGCUGCUGUCCCUCAAGAUGGUGGAUGGCUUUUGCAGAAAGUCAAGUACACACCAAGGAAAAAGAUGAGUAAAUUUACAUGUUGUAAUCAUAUAUAUAGAGCACAUACGCUUGAAUUUACUGUUUCACAGUCCACUGUUAUUCAUUUUCUUUCUAAGGAUUUCAUGAUCAGGGCAUGACUACACAUUCCACGUAAAAUUAACAAGCAAUUGUGCAAUAUGGGAUUUUCAGCUUCACAGUUUACUUUUUCAUAUCAACUGUACAUGAUUCAAGCAAGAAGUUGUAUAGUUUCAUGUUUGAUUAGGCUCCUGGAACUGGGAGAGA
Scylla paramamosain (green mud crab) is the source of this 3157-nucleotide long non-coding RNA. RefSeq lists it as uncharacterized. Lineage: Eukaryota; Metazoa; Arthropoda; Malacostraca; Decapoda; Portunidae. The record is from RefSeq and is a predicted model, not a curated record. The transcript has 3 exons.